RNAcentral lists this ribosomal RNA (365 nucleotides) under uncultured Thermoplasmatales archaeon. Its description in RNAcentral is "bacterial SSU rRNA". It matches the Rfam family "Archaeal small subunit ribosomal RNA", at positions 973 to 1338 of the family's 1478-position model. The record is from RNAcentral. Lineage: Archaea; Methanobacteriati; Thermoplasmatota; Thermoplasmata; Thermoplasmatales.
UGAUUUUUCGAGAGGUGGUGCAUGGCCGUCGUCAGUUCGUACCGUAAGGCGUUCUGUUAAGUCAGAUAACGAACGAGACCCUCGUCCUUAAUUGCCAAACCCAUUCUCCGGAAUGGGCGCACAUUAAGGGGACCGCUGGCGCUAAGUCAGAGGAAGGAGAGGUCAACGGUAGGUCAGUAUGCCCCGAAUCUCCCGGGCUACACGCGCGCUACAAAGGACAGGACAAUGGGAUGCAAUACCGAGAGGUAACGCCAACCCCGAAACCUGUUCGUAGUUCGGACUGAGGGCUGUAACUCGCCCUCACGAAGCUGGAUUCCGUAGUAAUCGCGGGUCAACAUCCCGCGGUGAAUAUGCCCCUGCUCUUU